Long non-coding RNA from Vespula vulgaris, 3002 nucleotides. RefSeq lists it as uncharacterized. The record is from RefSeq and is a predicted model, not a curated record. The transcript is spliced from 2 exons. Lineage: Eukaryota; Metazoa; Arthropoda; Insecta; Hymenoptera; Vespidae.
GGAGGUGGAGGAGGAGGAAAAGGAGGAGGAGAGAAAGACGAUGGCAACGACGACACAAUCGCACCACGAAACACACACCAAGCAAGACUCGAGAGCACUGAGGGCGAGCACGCGAUAGCAGCGCCACGAGGCGCCGCUCGUCCGCGUUAACGACCACGGGCCGAUGCUCCGCCGGCGCGCAUUGGUGGGGAGAAUUCUGGUGGGGGGAGCCACCGACUAAUCUAUGCUCUCUUCGUCGUAACUCCGUUCUUUCGUUUCUUCAAUGAUCAGCGCUUUUCUUUCGAGUUUAACGAGGUUUUUCUUUAUGAUUCCUUCUCUCAGAAUCGUUCUUACUUUUCUGAUAUACCUUCGGUAACCAUUUUCAAACGAUUGUAUGAUAACGAGCACGAAUUGUUUGUCAAAAAUGACAUCUUGCUAAGGCCAACUAUUGUUCCAGAGUUUUAACGAACGAAGGAUAGCACUGUAGAGAGCACACAAUGAUCGAUAGCCGUUCGAUUGCUUUUUUCUACGAUCGAUCCUAAAUACUUCAUGUCUGAAUUGGUUUUAAUGCUUCAGGCACGCUAUUUCUUUCGCGAGCUACGAACUCUCCUUUCGUGCGAAGAAACGGAUCAAAGUAAGAGCAGCAUCGAAGCGCGAACGUUCGAAUUGAAAGACGACGCGUUAUGGGGAAUGACGCGGUGCAUGUGGUAUUUCCGAAGCGUCUAGACUCGCUAAUUUAAACCGACUCUUGCGAAUCUACACACCAACGACGACGAUGGUUCAACCCAGUCUAGCCGCUGUCACAACUAACGAGUGAAAUAUGAGAAACAUCGUAGUCCACGCACAGUUUCACCCUUUCUUCCUAUUGCAAGUAAUAUUACUUUUCUUAUUUCUCGAUGGCCUUCUUUUCCCCAUCCUUGAAGCGUACCUUUCAUCCUAAAGAAUUACGCGCUGCAGAUUUGAAUCUCGAAAGCCACGAUAUAGUCUCUCUCUCUCUCUCUCUCUACUGAGAGGGACUUUAAUUAUGCGUCCACGAUUUAGCAGCGAUCGGGUGACGCGCAUGUCGUGUAAUUAAGGAGAAACGCGACGAGAGAGAUGAGCCAGCGUUCUUUUUAACGACCACUUGAAUUAAAACGCGUUCGCUGCCAAGUAUCUGUCACAUUUACGUUCCGAUAUGCUUUUACAAAUUCUCAAAUACAGCUGUUCGAUGACAAGAAAUCGGAAGCUGCGAAAAGUCCAGCCAAAGAUUCCAUAGUGAUAAGAGAGUUGCUUUUCCCAGAGAACUGAAGAAAUCGUUUAUAAUAUAUAUAUAUAUAUAUAUAUAUAUAUAUAUAUAUAUAUAUAUAUAUAUAUAUAUUAUGUAUAUGUAUGUAUGUAUACCAAACUUCAAAAAUAUGCUUCUCCAAUAACGUGGUCACGCUAGAAAGUUUGCAAAGAUAGAUGAUAGAAAUGACCAACAGAACGAUAAAAUUCCUGGAUGUUGGAACGUGGUACAACCAAAACCAGGGUGGAGCGAUACAUACCAAAUUUCAUUCUUCCUUCGUGUUGAACUGCACUUUCUUUUAAAACAGAAAACGCAGUGUGUUAACGAAGGGUAUCCACGAUGAAAGAUAAAACACAACAUGCUGGAGAGAGAGGGAGAUAGUGAGAAACAAAGAAAUUAUAGAGAAAUGUGAGAGAGAGGGAGAAAAACGCAUUACAUACAGAAGAGCAGAGGAGAGAGGGAGAAAAGAGAAAAAAGCCCAGGGGCGCGGCGCGUACGGCGGCGGUAUGGGUUACCCAUCCAUUCCUUAAACGCCACGAGUGAGACGCUUAACCGAGAAAAGCGAACUUAAGACGAGCGUGCACUUCGACCAAAUAAUAACUUUGAAUCUCCAUUACCAAUAACUGAUAUCAAUUUUGUACUAUUUUUAUGAUAUAAUUUAAAAUUUAUGAUUUAAUGACUAUUUAUUAAUCGACAUUCAAGUAACGAUAAGAAUAAUCAUAAUACCGGUCAUUGACCGUACGAUCAAACGCUCGAGAAAUAUCUAUUUUAGAACCUUUUGUAAUUGUAAUACAAUAAUAAGAUUAAAUACGACCUCGGAUGCAUUUAGAUACCUUGACAAACAAAUUAAUCGAAUGAUUAAUUUUUCUUAUUAUAAAUGUGAACAUUUUCAUUUUAUCUUCGCAAUUUGAUCAAAAUGUUUAAAUCUGACGAUGAUAGACGUUUAUACAAGUUUUGAAAGAUCGUUUACGAUAUUAGAAAAUGAAUAAGCAAACAUUGAUAGGUCUCUUACUGCAUUGUCUUAAUGGCGAAUAUAAUAUUCAUUAAUGUCAGUGGCUUUACGAAGGCCUAAACGAUCGAACCUUCUCUCUCUUUGCUCUUUUGUUAUAUAUAUUCAUUAAGAGAAGAAUAGCAAUCUUAACGCUUUUGCAACGAGCAAUUACUUCCAUCCGUUUGACGUUUAUUCUAUUUGUCUGAUUUUUCAAGAUCUCUUACUUAAUCGUUACGAUGUUUUGUUUCACGAACAGGACAGAUUUUAAUAAAAAUUUCUACGAUCUGUACGAUGACACACCUCACGUAAAUCGCUCAAGAUCUCUUCAGUGAGAGAAUUUUCCUCAUAUUUUUUAAACUUCAUUUAUCUCGUCCAAAAGAAAAAUAUUUUUUCUGAUAAAAACAAGGAGAGAAUAUAUACAAGUAGCGACGAAACUUGAAACUCUGGUAACUUCGAAUGUUUUAAAGUUUUUUCUAGGCUUAAAAUCGUUGAUAUAGAUUUCAAAGUCUAUGUCUCAAAUCGUUCGUCAAUUUCAAAUCGCGAUAAACUCAUGUACUGGAAUCUAAAACAUUACUUCCGAAGCAUGUUGUAGCUUUGGACACGAUUCCAAGCUUACAACUUCAAAAUCUUCGGCCUCGAGUCUUUUGUCAUUUUCGUUGUACUAGCGACAAUGGACACUUUCUGUAUAUAUCGAAUAUUACAUCAUUUUUAUUGCGACAUUUUUAUUAUGUAUUUAUUUAGUAACAAGAUUAUAUUGAAAGUAAUAUA